Molecule: ribosomal RNA, 431 nt
Filed under: uncultured bacterium
Lineage: Bacteria
Description: bacterial SSU rRNA
Rfam family: Bacterial small subunit ribosomal RNA
Source: RNAcentral
CCUACGGGGGGCUGCAGUGGGGAAUAUUGGACAAUGGGCGGAAGCCUGAUCCAGCAACGCCGCGUGAGGGAUGACUGCCUUCGGGUUGUAAACCUCUUUCAGCACAGACGAAGCGAAAGUGACGGUAUGUGCAGAAGAAGCACCGGCCAACUACGUGCCAGCAGCCGCGGUAAUACGUAGGGUGCGAGCGUUGUCCGGAAUUAUUGGGCGUAAAGGGCUCGUAGGCGGUUUGUCGCGUCGGGAGUGAAAACACACAGCUUAACUGUGUGCUUGCUUCCGAUACGGGCAGACUAGAGGUAUGCAGGGGAGAACGGAAUUCCUGGUGUAGCGGUGAAAUGCGCAGAUAUCAGGAGGAACACCGGUGGCGAAGGCGGUUCUCUGGGCAUUACCUGACGCUGAGGAGCGAAAGUGUGGGGAGCGAACAGGAUUAG